CGGCAAUCACAUCUCAAAAACUAAGAGACACAGUGGGCUCAGAUCAGGUAAAAUAGACUGCAAUCCAAGCUUGUCGCAACUUGCAACCCUUCCUCUCGCAUUGACUUUCGAAUUUUAACAUAAAAUAAUUUAUUGUGAAAAAAAAAAAAAACACCCCUCGAAGAUUGCUACACCAUAUAGUUAAUUUGCAGGCCCAUCAUCUUUUCUGACCCACUGUCUAACUUGUUUUCUUGAAUUUUGUAUUCUCUGCUUCCUCCUGCCAAAGUUCCUGUGCUUACCGGAGCUCGGUCUAUUUGAAGAACCCCCAGAAUUUGUUUCCAUGGAUGCUGUUGAGUCUCUUUGCUGUUCUUCCGUGGUUUCUUUAUUCAACGCCUGGGUUGGCAAUGUUACUGGCCGAGGAAGAUACAUACCAGGCAAAACAACUAGAUCUCUUUUUGGUUCAAUUAUGCCACUAUUUUCUUGCUGCAGUUUUAGUAUGGCCUCAAAUUUCUGUUUUCUAAUCUUCUCUGAAUCACACUGGAGUAGUUUCACAUCUUCAAUUUCCGUUCUGUCAGAGCUCAAUUCAGAGAAAUUCGUUCCAACCAAGCUGCGCACAUGUUCAAAAUCCUUGGUAUGAAAAACCUUGCGGCAAACUGGACAGUCCCCCAUACUUUCUUCCUCUAAGCCAUGAAUGUGAAUGUCAUUCUGAUUUCCCCUGUCUCUGAUGGAAUGCAGAGAUGUGGUAGAUGAGAUGUUAAUGUUGCUUUCUUUCUCUUUUUGGAUCCAAUUCCACCAAUUCAUGAUGCAUUCACAGUGAAAGCAAUGGAAACAAGACAUCAGCUUCAUAAAUGGUAAGGAUUCAUUCUCUUCGUCUUCUAGGAGCAAAGGGUACAAACACAAUGGACAAUUGCCAUCAGGGUGAUUCAUAAUAGAGAGCUUCUCCACUGCUUCCUCGCAAAGUGCUACAAUCAUCAAACAUGAGAAGAGUUCACAUGCUUUGUCUUGUAUGCUUUUUAUUAGAUGCUUCUGCCUUUGUUCAUCAAGCCCCUUGGAUUCUAUAAGAUCAAUACUGGGUGGCUCCUUUGGAUACUGGGAACCUGCUCGUAUCCCAAUAACUGCUUCCACAAACUGUUGGGAAGAGAUAUCGGCGGUUCGUGGCUUGAUGUGAACGUGAAGAUGGGGAGGGAAAGAAUCUAGAACCACACAAUCGUCUCCGUACACCGCUUGCACCGCUUCCACUUCUAUCAGCACUUCUUCUUCUUCGGCCAUCUUUUUUUGGCAAUCCUUUCUGCAGGUAGAGAGGGAAAGGGAUAGAGAGAGGGCCUUGAUGAUUCUAGAGGAAAGUUGGAUCAUGAGCUGCUACCAUGUCGUCUAGCAUUGCUAGGCACGGCGAUG
This 1374-nucleotide unclassified non-coding RNA is filed under the name Hevea brasiliensis (rubber tree). The record is from RNAcentral. Lineage: Eukaryota; Viridiplantae; Streptophyta; Magnoliopsida; Malpighiales; Euphorbiaceae.